Molecule: long non-coding RNA, 721 nt
Organism: Hippocampus comes (tiger tail seahorse)
Lineage: Eukaryota; Metazoa; Chordata; Actinopteri; Syngnathiformes; Syngnathidae
Exons: 4
Source: RefSeq, a predicted model, not a curated record
GCCAUGAGCCACCUUUAGCACGUGCAUGCUGUCAUUAAAAAAUAAAAAAGCUGUAAUGUAUUCAUCUUUCAGGGUGUGGACGGCAUCUGUGCACCUGGAUGGAUCCUGGCACCGGGUUCGCUGUUGGAGCUGCAGAAAUUUGAACUGAGAUUGAAGAGGCUGCUGGGCCAAAGGCGCAACCGACAAACUCGGAGGACAUGCGGAAGGGACGCCAACCUGCAUUUGGACACAUAUAGAGCGCUGCGGUGUGCUUGAAAAGCUCAUGUGAUGUCACGUUGCACCACAAGGUGGAGAGUAGACAAUCACGAAGCAAAGAAAAACGUGGACAAGCAUGUUGAGCUGAGAGCAAAGAGACGUCCGCCAGUUACACGUCGAGUCAAUUUAUUGCGCAGAGAAAGAUGUUUUUGGCAUGGAACCGACCAGUGAGAGAGACGUUGCUGGGUUUUUCGUGUAUAAAAAAAAAAGUUGUCAUAAUGGUGUAUUGAAAGAGUGUAAUUGUCUUCCACUUUUCAGGCUGGACCCAAAGUUUGGCUUCAGCACCUGAAUUGAAAUGUGACUCGUUACCAGCAGAUGGCUCAUCUCUUCACCUCAUGGCACUCCGGUGGUUCCACCUGGAUGACAAAGCACAGUGCUAACUGGAGACUGCAACCUUUUGCUGCAACAGUUGGUCGAGCGUGAUCAACGCCAACAGGCCAAGCUGCGACUGGUCCAAUGACAAACA